This 440-nucleotide ribosomal RNA is filed under the name uncultured bacterium. RNAcentral describes it as "partial 16S ribosomal RNA". It matches the Rfam family "Bacterial small subunit ribosomal RNA", at positions 338 to 795 of the family's 1533-position model. The record is from RNAcentral.
CCUACGGGUGGCAGCAGUGGGGGAUAUUGCACAAUGGGGGGAACCCUGAUGCAGCGACGCCGCGUGUGGGCAGACGGUCCUCUGGAUUGUAAACCACUGUCCCCAGGGACGAAAAUGACGGUACCUGGGGAUGAAGCUCCGUCUAACUACGUGCCAGCAGCCGCGGUAAUACGUAGGGAGCGAGCGUUGUCCGGAAUUACUGGGUGUAAAGGGAGCGUAGGCGGGGAUGCAAGUUGGGUGUCAAAACUACCGGCUCAACUGGUAGUCGCACUCAAAACUGCAGCUCUUGAGUGAAGUAGAGGCAGGCGGAAUGCCUAGUGUAGCGGUGAAAUGCGUAGAUAUUAGGAGGAACACCAGUGGCGAAGGCGGCCUGCUGGGCUUUUACUGACGCUGAGGCUCGAAAGUGUGGGGAGCAAACAGGAUUAGAUACCCCUGUAGUC